GUGCAGCAGUCGCGAAUUUUUCUCAAUGGGGGAAACCCUGAAGGAGCGACGCCGCGUGGAGGAUGAAGGCUUUCGGGUUGUAAACUCCUGUCAUUUGAGAACAAGUGCUAGUAACUAACUACUGCUAGCUUGAUAGUAUCAGAAGAGGAAGGGACGGCUAACUCUGUGCCAGCAGCCGCGGUAAUACAGAGGUCCCAAGCGUUGUUCGGAUUCAUUGGGCGUAAAGGGUGCGUAGGUGGCGCCGUAAGUGGGGUGUGAAAUUUCGGAGCUCAACUCCGAAACUGCAUUCCAUACUGCGGUGCUUGAGGACUGGAGAGGAGACUGGAAUUUACGGUGUAGCAGUGAAAUGCGUAGAGAUCGUAAGGAAGACCAGUGGCGAAGGCGGGUCUCUGGACAGUUCCUGACACUGAGGCACGAAGGCUAGGGGAGCAAACGGGAUUAGAUACCCCU
Molecule: ribosomal RNA, 450 nt
Filed under: uncultured organism
Description: bacterial SSU rRNA
Rfam family: Bacterial small subunit ribosomal RNA
Source: RNAcentral